UACGGAGGGUGCAAGCGUUGUCCGGAUUUAUUGGGUUUAAAGGGUGCGUAGGCGGGCAGGUUAGUUCGUGGUGAAAGACGAUCGCUCAACGGUGGCAGUGCCAUGGAUACUGCUUUUCUUGAAUAUGGUUGAGGCCGGUGGAAUUGAUGGUGUAGCGGUGAAAUGCUUAGAUAUGGCCAAGAACUCCAAUUGCGAAGGCAGCCGACUGGGCCAGCAUUGACGCUCAGGCACGAGAGUGCGGGGAUCAAACAGG
Molecule: ribosomal RNA, 253 nt
Filed under: uncultured bacterium
Lineage: Bacteria
Description: partial 16S ribosomal RNA
Rfam family: Bacterial small subunit ribosomal RNA
Source: RNAcentral